ACCAAUGAAAGGCAGGCUCCCAACAGAUAGAAAACACCUGAAGCUGGUGAUCAGCAGCUUUAGAAAACACCUGAAGUUGGUGAUCAGCAGCUUCCAGAUAAGAUCUCAGCACCCUAAGAGGCAAAAUGGCGGAAUUUAGCCAGUGUACGACCUUUCUUCAGGAACACUCAACUGGUAUCAGUGAUCUAGAUGUAGAAGUCUUGCUGGCUUCCUGCUUUUCUAUGACAUCAUCCUUCAGAAGGUGAGGCACAGGCAAGAACAUAAUGAAAGCACUUCUCCUUCCUGCCAUCAUGUGAAGAAGGAUGU
Long non-coding RNA from Cercocebus atys (sooty mangabey), 306 nucleotides. RefSeq lists it as uncharacterized. The transcript is spliced from 3 exons. NCBI's taxonomy places the organism in Eukaryota, Metazoa, Chordata, Mammalia, Primates, Cercopithecidae. The record is from RefSeq and is a predicted model, not a curated record.